Molecule: ribosomal RNA, 925 nt
Filed under: uncultured archaeon
Lineage: Archaea
Description: bacterial SSU rRNA
Rfam family: Archaeal small subunit ribosomal RNA
Source: RNAcentral
CCCCACUGCUAUCGGGAUGGGACUAAGACAUGCUAGUCGAGCGUCUCCAAGCUAUGGAAGAGACGCGGCACACAGCUCAGUAACACGUGGCUAACCUGCCCUUGGGACAAGGACAACUCCGGGAAACUGGGGCUAAUCCCUGAUAAGUGAGAACUCCUGGAAUGGAUUCUCGCUCAAAGGACGUUUAGACCAUGCUUCUAGGCGUCGCCCAAGGAGGGGGCCGCGACCGAUCAGGUUGUUGGUGAGGUAACGGCUCACCAAGCCUUUAACCGGUACGGGCCGUGAGAGCGGAAGCCCGGAGAUGGGCACUGAGACAAGGGCCCAGGCCCUACGGGGCGCAGCAGUCGCGAAAACUCCGCAAUACACGAAAGUGUGACGGGGCCAUCCCGAGUGCCAUCCGCUGAGGAUGGCUUUUCCCCAGUGUAUAAAGCUGGGGGAAUAAGGAGAGGGCAAGCCUGGUGUCAGCCGCCGCGGUAAUACCAGCUCUCCGAGUGGUGGGGAUGUUUAUUGGGCCUAAAGCAUUCGUAGCCUGCUUGGCAAGUCCUCCGUUAAAUCCAACGAUUCAAUCGUUGGGCUGCGGGGGAUACUGUCCAGCUAGGGGGCGGGAGAGGCCGACGGUAUCCCCGGGGUAGGGGUGAAAUCCUAUAAUCCCGGGAGGACCACCAGUGGCGAAGGCUGUCGGCUAGAACGCGCUCGACGGUGAGGGAUGAAAGCUGGGGGAGCGAACCGGAUUAGAUACCCGGGUAGUCCCAGCUGUAAACGAUGCAGGCUAGGUGUUGGCGCGGCUACGUGCCGCUCCAGUGCCGCAGGGAAGCCGUUAAGCCUGCCGCCUGGGAAGUACGGCCGCAAGGCUGAAACUUAAAGGAAUUGGCGGGGGAGCACCACAAGGUGUGAAGCUUGCGGUUUAAUUGGAGUCAACGCCGGG